GGAAAAAACUGUGUUGGAGCAGUUUAGGAGGUGGAGGGAUGAUCACAGAGCAGUUUUGGACAUAUUGAAUCUGAGAGGCCUAAUAACAUCCAAGUUGAGUAGUUAGUUGGAUAUAUAAGCCUGGGAGUCAGGAUAGGUUUGGGCUAGAGACAUAGUUUUGAAACUUGAUGACGAGUAAAUUUUACUUAAAGUUGGGAGACUGGAUGAAAUCACCAGAGGAGUCAAUACCUAAAAAGAAUAAGAGAAGUCCAGGGACUGAGGCCUGGGACAGUGCAACAUUAGGAGAUCAAGAGAAGAGGAGGAAAUGCAAAAGAAGACUGAAAAGCAGUGACUAGUGGGACUCUAUGCUCAGGACAGUGCCUGAGGUCUGGUGGAGCAGGACUUUGAAGGCGCUUUGGGACUUUCACAGGCAGAAAGGAGCAGGAAGUUUCUGGAGCGAGACUGGGCAUCAGGAAACUGAGGAUCAGAGGAUUUGACCAACCCAAAGCCACCCAGCUAGUAAGGAGGAGGGGAGCCCGCAGGGCCUGAAUCCUGACAAGUUGGCUCGAGGGCUCAGGUUCUGGAGCUGAGUCAAUAGCUCCAGCUCUCAGGUCAGCUGCCUGUGUUCCAGUCCUGCCUCUCACAGUUUCUACAAAUUUGGAACAAGUUUGCUGAGCCCUGAAUUUGAUUAUCCGUGAGAUCAUUUCUAGCUCUAAUUUAGAAACGCAACUCCACCAUUUACCAGCUGCAUGACCUUGGGUUAACACAUGGCCUUAUUUGUUUUAAAAGGACACCUUUUUGAGAAUGUGUUUAGAGAAAGACUCUAUUCACCCCGUGAAGAUUUUGAAGCCCCAUCAGGAUCUUAGGGGAGCUCUCUGAAAAGUACAUCAACUAAGCUUCCUCCCCUCGGGAUUCCAGACUGAAGAUAACGACACAGAAAUAGCAUGGAUGCUAAUAACAUACUGUCCAGGCAAAGAAAGGUUAUUCUCUGAAAGAAUUUGGAGAUGGAAGCACAGAGUACAUGAUCACAGCUGGAAUUCAGGCUGAGAGAUCUUAUACAAUGUAAUAUUAGCAGCCACCUUCAGAUCAGGCACACCCCAGCUGUUCACUUUACAGAACUACCUGCUCCUUUUCCUCUCCCUUCCUCUCCAGGAGCUUUCCUUACUUUUUAAAAAGGGCAGAAAUGAAGCCAAAACCUUUUGUGUAAAGAAUAAACACUACAAAACAGAAAGUAAACCCUAAG
RNAcentral lists this long non-coding RNA (1222 nucleotides) under Equus caballus (horse). Its description in RNAcentral is "lncRNA (ENSECAG00000054441.1)". Lineage: Eukaryota; Metazoa; Chordata; Mammalia; Perissodactyla; Equidae. The record is from RNAcentral.